UACGAACUGUGCGAACGUUAUUCGGAAUCACUGGGCUUACAGGGUGCGUAGGCGGCCUUUCAAGUCAGGUGUGAAAUCCCACAGCCCAACUGUGGAACUGCGCUUGAAACUGAUCGGCUUGAGUCAGCUAGAGGUACACGGAACUUCCGGUGGAGCGGUGAAAUGUGUUGAUAUCGGAAGGAACACCAGAGGCGAAAGCGGUGUACUGGAGCUGGUCUGACGCUGAGGCACGAAAGCCAGGGGAGCGAACGGGAUUAGAAACCCCUGUAGUCC
Molecule: ribosomal RNA, 273 nt
Filed under: uncultured bacterium
Lineage: Bacteria
Description: partial 16S ribosomal RNA
Rfam family: Bacterial small subunit ribosomal RNA
Source: RNAcentral